This 81-nucleotide small RNA is filed under the name Flavobacterium crassostreae. Its description in RNAcentral is "Flavo-1 RNA". It matches the Rfam family "Flavo-1 RNA". The record is from Rfam by way of RNAcentral. Lineage: Bacteria; Pseudomonadati; Bacteroidota; Flavobacteriia; Flavobacteriales; Flavobacteriaceae.
UACUACCCCCGACAGCAGCGGCAUCCUUGUGGCGGCGGGCAUUGAUGCCGCCACAAGAUAUAGCGAAUGGCGGGAGGGUUG